This 253-nucleotide ribosomal RNA is filed under the name uncultured bacterium. RNAcentral's name for it is "partial 16S ribosomal RNA". It matches the Rfam family "Bacterial small subunit ribosomal RNA", at positions 524 to 776 of the family's 1533-position model. The record is from RNAcentral.
UACGUAGGAGGCAAGCGUUGUCCGGAGUUACUGGGCGUAAAGCGUGCGCAGGCGGUUCGUUGUGUCGGCGGUGAAAGCCCCGGGCUCAACCUGGGAAUGGCCGUUGAAACUGGCGAACUGGAGUGUGGCAGAGGGGGGUGGAAUUCCGCGUGUAGCAGUGAAAUGCGUAGAGAUGCGGAGGAACACCGAUGGCGAAGGCAGCCCCCUGGGCUGACACUGACGCUCAGGCACGAAAGCGUGGGGAGCAAACAGG